AACGGGUGCGUAACACGUGAGCAACCUACCGAUUUGUGGGGGAUAGCCGGCCCAACGGCCGGGUAAUACCGCAUACGCUCUUUGGGCUUCAUGGCCUAUUGAGGAAACCUCCGGGGCAAAUCGAGGGGCUCGCGGCCUAUCAGCUAGUUGGCGAGGUCACGGCUCACCAAGGCGACGACGGGUAGCUGGUCUGAGAGGAUGGCCAGCCACAUUGGGACUGAGAAACGGCCCAG
This 233-nucleotide ribosomal RNA is filed under the name uncultured bacterium. RNAcentral describes it as "partial 16S ribosomal RNA". It matches the Rfam family "Bacterial small subunit ribosomal RNA", at positions 101 to 334 of the family's 1533-position model. The record is from RNAcentral.